Molecule: ribosomal RNA, 249 nt
Filed under: uncultured Sorangiineae bacterium
Lineage: Bacteria; Pseudomonadati; Myxococcota; Myxococcia; Myxococcales
Description: partial 16S ribosomal RNA
Rfam family: Bacterial small subunit ribosomal RNA
Source: RNAcentral
CGCGCCGUAAACGAUGGGUGCUAGGUGUCGCGGGCUUUGACCCCUGCGGUGCCGUAGCUAACGCAUUAAGCACCCCGCCUGGGGAGUACGGCCGCAAGGCUAAAACUCAAAGGAAUUGACGGGGGCCCGCACAAGCGGUGGAGCAUGUGGUUUAAUUCGAUGCAACGCGAAGAACCUUACCUGGGCUAGAAAACACGUGAACCUGGCGGAAACGUCGGGGUGCCCCUCGGGGAACGCGUGGUUAGGUGC